RNAcentral lists this ribosomal RNA (465 nucleotides) under uncultured bacterium. RNAcentral's name for it is "partial 16S ribosomal RNA". It matches the Rfam family "Bacterial small subunit ribosomal RNA", at positions 338 to 795 of the family's 1533-position model. The record is from RNAcentral.
CCUACGGGAGGCAGCAGUAGGGAAUCUUCCACAAUGGACGAAAGUCUGAUGGAGCAACGCCGCGUGAGUGAAGAAGGGUUUCGGCUCGUAAAGCUCUGUUGGUAGUGAAGAAAGAUAGAGGUAGUAACUGGCCUUUAUUUGACGGUAAUUACUUAGAAAGUCACGGCUAACUACGUGCCAGCAGCCGCGGUAAUACGUAGGUGGCAAGCGUUGUCCGGAUUUAUUGGGCGUAAAGCGAGUGCAGGCGGUUCAAUAAGUCUGAUGUGAAAGCCUUCGGCUCAACCGGGGAAUUGCAUCAGAAACUGUUGGACUUGAGUGCAGAAGAGGAGGGUGGAACUCCAGGUGUAGCGGUGGAAUGCGUAGAGAUAUGGAAGAACACCAGUGGCGAAGGCGGCUCUCUGGUCUGCAACUGACGCUGAGGCUCGAAAGCAUGGGUAGCGAACAGGAUUAGAUACCCGUGUAGUC